AGAGUUUGAUCCUGGCUCAGGACGAACGCUGGCGGCACGCUUAACACAUGCAAGUCGAACGAGAGAAGAGGAGCUUGCUUUUCUGAUCUAGUGGCGGACGGGUGAGUAACACGUGAGCAAUCUGCCUUUCAGAGGGGGAUACCGAUUGGAAACGAUCGUUAAUACCGCAUAACAUAAUUGAACCGCAUGAUUUGAUUAUCAAAGAUUUAUCGCUGAAAGAUGAGCUCGCGUCUGAUUAGCUAGUUGGUAAGGUAACGGCUUACCAAGGCGACGAUCAGUAGCCGGACUGAGAGGUUGAUCGGCCACAUUGGGACUGAGACACGGCCCAGACUCCUACGAGAGGCAGCAGUGGGGAAUAUUGCACAAUGGAGGAAACUCUGAUGCAGCGAUGCCGCGUGAGGGAAGAAGGUUUUAGGAUUGUAAACCUCUGUCUUCAGGGACGAAAAAAGACGGUACCUGAGGAGGAAGCUCCGGCUAACUACGUGCCAGCAGCCGCGGUAAUACGUAGGGAGCGAGCGUUGUCCGGAAUUACUGGGUGUAAAGGGAGCGUAGGCGGGAUCGCAAGUCAGAUGUGAAAACUAUGGGCUUAACCCAUAAACUGCAUUUGAAACUGUGGUUCUUGAGUGAAGUAGAGGUAAGCGGAAUUCCUAGUGUAGCGGUGAAAUGCGUAGAUAUUUGGAGGAACAUCAGUGGCGAAGGCGGCUUACUGGGCUUUAACUGACGCUGAGGCUCGAAAGCGUGGGGAGCAAACAGGAUUAGAUACCCUGGUAGUCCACGCCGUAAACGAUGAUUACUAGGUGUGGGGGGACUGACCCCUUCCGUGCCGCAGCAAACGCAAUAAGUAAUCCACCUGGGGAGUACGACCGCAAGGUUGAAACUCAAAGGAAUUGACGGGGGCCCGCACAAGCAGUGGAGUAUGUGGAUUAAUUCGAAGCAACGCGAAGAACCUUACCAGGUCUUGACAUCGUAUGCAUAGCUCAGAGAUGAGUGAAAUCUCUUCGGAGACAUAUAGACAGGUGGUGCAUGGUUGUCGUCAGCUCGUGUCGUGAGAUGUUGGGUUAAGUCCCGCAACGAGCGCAACCCUUACUGUUAGUUGCUACGCAAGAGCACUCUAGCAGGACUGCCGUUGACAAAACGGAGGAAGGUGGGGAUGACGUCAAAUCAUCAUGCCCCUUAUGACCUGGGCCUCACACGUACUACAAUGGCUGUCAACAGAGGGAAGCAAAGCCGCGAGGUGGAGCGAACCCCUAAAAGCAGUCUUAGUUCGGAUUGUAGGCUGCAACCCGCCUACAUGAAGUCGGAAUUGCUAGUAAUCGCAGAUCAGCAUGCUGCGGUGAAUACGUUCCCGGGCCUUGUACACACCGCCCGUCACGCCAUGGGAGUCGGUAACACCCGAAGCCUGUAGUCUAACCGCAAGGAGGACGCAGUCGAAGGUGGGAUUGAUGACUGGGGUGAAGUCGUAACAAGGUA
This 1470-nucleotide ribosomal RNA is filed under the name metagenome. Its description in RNAcentral is "bacterial SSU rRNA". It matches the Rfam family "Bacterial small subunit ribosomal RNA". The record is from RNAcentral.